RNAcentral lists this ribosomal RNA (258 nucleotides) under uncultured bacterium. RNAcentral's name for it is "partial 16S ribosomal RNA". It matches the Rfam family "Bacterial small subunit ribosomal RNA", at positions 96 to 354 of the family's 1533-position model. The record is from RNAcentral.
UGGCGGACGGGUGAGUAACGCGUGGGUAACCCGCCUUACACAGGGGGAUAACACCUGGAGACAGGUGCUAAUACCGCAUAAGCGCACAGGGCCGCAUGGCCCGGUGUGAAAAACUCCGGUGGUGUAAGAUGGACCCGCGUCUGAUUAGCUUGUUGGCGGGGUAGGGGCCCACCAAGGCGACGAUCAGUAGCCGGCCUGAGAGGGUGGACGGCCACAUUGGGACUGAGACACGGCCCAAACUCCUACGGAAGGCAGCAG